ACACCGCACCGUUGUCCGUCACCAACCAUAUUAAAGAACCUGACAGUUUCUUAAUAUGGGAACCUGACUCAUAAGUGUGGAGCGCAAGCCACCGUCCCGCGUUUAGCGGGAGUGCCUCGCGAUGACCCCCGCCUUGGCGGGGCGAGCGGGUCGAGUGGAAGUGUAAAAUACUUAGGCAGGUACCCACUGUGUCUUGAAAAGAGGUUCUUUCAAUACACUUGGCGACGGCAGCGCGCGCGGUGUU
Non-coding RNA from Ignavibacteria bacterium, 244 nucleotides. Lineage: Bacteria; Pseudomonadati; Ignavibacteriota; Ignavibacteria. The record is from Rfam.